This 1088-nucleotide ribosomal RNA is filed under the name Nocardioidaceae bacterium. RNAcentral's name for it is "bacterial SSU rRNA". It matches the Rfam family "Bacterial small subunit ribosomal RNA", at positions 357 to 1459 of the family's 1533-position model. The record is from RNAcentral. Lineage: Bacteria; Bacillati; Actinomycetota; Actinomycetes; Propionibacteriales; Nocardioidaceae.
GGGAAUAUGGACAAUGGGCGAAAGCCUGAUCCAGCAAUGCCGCGUGAGGGAUGACGGCCUUCGGGUUGUAACCUCUUUCAGCAGGGCGAAGCGCAAGUGACGGUACCUGCAGAAGAAGCACCGGCCAACUACGUGCCAGCAGCCGCGGUAACACGUAGGGUGCGAGCGUUGUCCGGAAUUAUUGGGCGUAAAGGGCUCGUAGGCGGUUUGUCGCGUCGGGAGUGAAAACUCAGGGCUCAACCCUGUUCGUGCUUCCGAUACGGGCAAACUAGAGGUAGGCAGGGGAGAACGGAAUUCCUGGUGUAGCGGUGGAAUGCGCAGAUAUCAGGAGGAACACCGGUGGCGAAGGCGGUUCUCUGGGCCUAUUCUGACGCUGAGGAGCGAAAGCAUGGGGAGCGAACAGGAUUAGAUACCCUGGUAGUCCAUGCCGUAAACGUUGGGCGCUAGGUGUGGGACUCAUUCCACGAGUUCCGUGCCGCAGCUAACGCAUUAAGCGCCCCGCCUGGGGAGUACGGCCGCAAGGCUAAAACUCAAAGGAAUUGACGGGGGCCCGCACAAGCGGCGGAGCAUGCUGAUUAAUUCGAUGCAACGCGAAGAACCUUACCUGGGUUUGACAUAUAGGGAAAACUGCUGGAGACAGCAGGUCCGCAAGGGCUCUAUACAGGUGGUGCAUGGCUGUCGUCAGCUCGUGUCGUGAGAUGUUGGGUUAAGUCCCGCAACGAGCGCAACCCUCGUCCUAUGUUGCCAGCACGUUAUGGUGGGGACUCAUAGGAGACUGCCGGGGUCAACUCGGAGGAAGGUGGGGAUGACGUCAAGUCAUCAUGCCCCUUAUGUCCAGGGCUUCAAGCAUGCUACAAUGGCUGGUACAAAGGGCUGCGAAACCGCAAGGUGGAGCGAAUCCCAAAAAGCCAGUCUCAGUUCGGAUUGGGGUCUGCAACUCGACCCCAUGAAGUCGGAGUCGCUAGUAAUCGCAGAUCAGCAACGCUGCGGUGAAUACGUUCCCGGGCCUUGUACACACCGCCCGUCACGUCAUGAAAGUCGGCAACACCCGAAGCCGGUGGCCCAACCCUUGUGGAGGGAGCCGUCGA